GUGGACGUAGCUUAGCGGUUUAAAGCGUCGCUCUGUGGCAGCGAAGAUCGCCGGUUCAAAUCCGGUCGUCCACCCA
This 76-nucleotide transfer RNA is filed under the name Candidatus Wildermuthbacteria bacterium GWA1_49_26. RNAcentral's name for it is "tRNA-His". It matches the Rfam family "tRNA". Rfam says of the family: Transfer RNA (tRNA) molecules are approximately 80 nucleotides in length. Their secondary structure includes four short double-helical elements and three loops (D, anti-codon, and T loops). RNAcentral also lists the same sequence under 8 other names. The record is from RNAcentral. Lineage: Bacteria; Candidatus Wildermuthiibacteriota.